AUUGAACGCUGGCGGCAGGCCUAACACAUGCAAGUCGAGCGAGCGGCGGACGGGUGAGUAAUGUCUGGGAAACUGCCUGAUGGAGGGGGAUAACUACUGGAAACGGUAGCUAAUACCGCAUACCAUCAGAUGUGCCCAGAUGGGAUUAGCUAGUAGGUGGGGUAACGGCUCACCUAGGCGACGCUCCCUAGCUGGUCUGAGAGGAUGACCCGCCACACUGGAACUGAGAAAGGGUCCAGACUCCUACGGGAGGCAGCAGGGGGGAAUAUUGCACAAUGGGCGCAGGCCUGAUGCACCCAUGCCGCGUGUGUGAAGAAGGCCUUGGGGUUGUAAAGCACUUUCAGCGGGGAGGCGUUACCCGCAGAAGAAGCACCGGCUAACUCCGUGCCAGCAGCCGCGGUAAAC
Molecule: ribosomal RNA, 405 nt
Filed under: uncultured bacterium
Lineage: Bacteria
Description: partial 16S ribosomal RNA
Rfam family: Bacterial small subunit ribosomal RNA
Source: RNAcentral